GCCUACCAAGGCAUCGAUCAGUAGCUGGUCUGAGACGACGACCAGCCACACUGGAACUGAGACACGGUCCAGACUCCUACGGGAGGCAGCAGUGGGGAAUUUUGGACAAUGGGCGAAAGCCUGAUCCAGCAAUGCCGCGUGAGUGAAGAAGGCCUUCGGGUUGUAAAGCUCUUUUGUCAGGGAAGAAACGGUGAGAGCUAAUAUCUCUUGCUAAUGACGGUACCUGAAGAAUAAGCACCGGCUAACUACGUGCCAGCAGCCGCGGUAAUACGUAGGGUGCAAGCGUUAAUCGGAAUUACUGGGCGUAAAGCGUGCGCAGGCGGUUUUGUAAGUCUGAUGUGAAAUCCCCGGGCUCAACCUGGGAAUUGCAUUGGAGACUGCAAGGCUAGAAUCUGGCAGAGGGGGGUAGAAUUCCACGUGUAGCAGUGAAAUGCGUAGAUAUGUGGAGGAACACCGAUGGCGAAGGCAGCCCCCUGGGUCAAGAUUGACGCUCAUGCACGAAAGCGUGGGGAGCAGACAGGAUUAGAUACCCUGGUAGUCCACGCCCUAAACGAUGUCUACUAGUUGUCGGGUCUUAAUUGACUUGGUAACGCAGCUAACGCGUGAAGUAGACCGCCUGGGGAGUACGGUCGCAAGAUUAAAACUCAAAGGAAUUGACGGGGACCCGCACAAGCGGUGGAUGAUGUGGAUUAAUUCGAUGCAACGCGAAAAACCUUACCUACCCUUGACAUGGCUGGAAUCCCCGAGAGAUUGGGGAGUGCUCGAAAGAGAACCAGUACACAGGUGCUGCAUGGCUGUCGUCAGCUCGUGUCGUGAGAUGUUGGGUUAAGUCCCGCAACGAGCGCAACCCUUGUCAUUAGUUGCUACGAAAGGGCACUCUAAUGAGACUGCCGGUGACAAACCGGAGGAAGGUGGGGAUGACGUCAAGUCCUCAUGGCCCUUAUGGGUAGGGCUUCGCACGUCAUACAAUGGUACAUACAGAGCGCCGCCAACCCGCGAGGGGGAGCUAAUCGCAGAAAGUGUAUCGUAGUCCGGAUUGUAGUCUGCAACUCGACUGCAUGAAGUUGGAAUCGCUAGUAAUCGCGGAUCAGCAUGUCGCGGUGAAUACGUUCCCGGGUCUUGUACACACCGCCCGUCACACCAUGGGAGCGGGUUUUACCAGAAGUAGGUAGCUUAACCGUAAGGAGGGCGCUUACCACGGUAGGAUUCGUGACUGGGGUGAAGUCGUAACAAGGUA
Molecule: ribosomal RNA, 1237 nt
Filed under: metagenome
Description: bacterial SSU rRNA
Rfam family: Bacterial small subunit ribosomal RNA
Source: RNAcentral